UAGGGAAUCUUCCGCAAUGGGCGAAAGCCUGACGGAGCAACGCCGCGUGAGUGAUGAAGGUCUUCGGAUCGUAAAACUCUGUUAUUAGGGAAGAACAAAUGUGUAAGUAACUAUGCACGUCUUGACGGUACCUAAUCAGAAAGGCACGGCUAACUACGUGCCAGCAGCCGCGGUAAUACGUAGGUGGCAAGCGUUAUCCGGAAUUAUUGGGCGUAAAGCGCGCGUAGGCGGUUUUUUAAGUCUGAUGUGAAAGCCCACGGCUCAACCGUGGAGGGUCAUUGGAAACUGGAAAACUUGAGUGCAGAAGAGGAAAGUGGAAUUCCAUGUGUAGCGGUGAAAUGCGCAGAGAUAUGGAGGAACACCAGUGGCGAAGGCGACGUUCUGGUCUGUAACUGACGCUGAUGUGCGAAAGCGUGGGGAUCAAACAGG
RNAcentral lists this ribosomal RNA (429 nucleotides) under Actinomycetes bacterium. RNAcentral describes it as "Actinobacteria bacterium partial 16S ribosomal RNA". It matches the Rfam family "Bacterial small subunit ribosomal RNA", at positions 355 to 776 of the family's 1533-position model. Lineage: Bacteria; Bacillati; Actinomycetota; Actinomycetes. The record is from RNAcentral.